GUGGGGAAUCUUGCGCAAUGGGCGAAAGCCUGACGCAGCCAUGCCGCGUGAAUGAUGAAGGUCUUAGGAUUGUAAAAUUCUUUCACCGGGGACGAUAAUGACGGUACCCGGAGAAGAAGCUCCGGCUAACUUCGUGCCAGCAGCCGCGGUAAUACGAAGGGGGCUAGCGUUGCUCGGAAUUACUGGGCGUAAAGGGCGCGUAGGCGGACAGCUUAGUCAGAGGUGAAAGCCCAGGGCUCAACCUUGGAAUUGCCUUUGAUACUGGCUGUCUUGAGUUUGGGAGAGGUGAGUGGAACUCCGAGUGUAGAGGUGAAAUUCGUAGAUAUUCGGAAGAACACCAGUGGCGAAGGCGACUCACUGGCCCAAUACUGACGCUGAGGCACGAAAGCGUGGGGAGCAAACAGGAUUAGAAACCCCAGUAGUCC
Molecule: ribosomal RNA, 425 nt
Filed under: uncultured bacterium
Lineage: Bacteria
Description: partial 16S ribosomal RNA
Rfam family: Bacterial small subunit ribosomal RNA
Source: RNAcentral